GACGAACGCUGGCGGCGUGCUUAACACAUGCAAGUCGAACGGAAAGGCCUUUUCGGAGGUACUCGAGUGGCGAACGGGUGAGUAACACGUGGGAGAUCUGCCCUGCACUCUGGGAUAAGCCUGGGAAACUGGGUCUAAUACCGGAUAGGACCGCACUUUAGUGUGUGUGGUGGAAAGUUUUUUCGGUGUAGGAUGAGCCCGCGGCCUAUCAGCUUGUUGGUGGGGUAAUGGCCUACCAAGGCGGCGACGGGUAGCCGGACUGAGAGGUUGGUCGGCCACAUUGGGACUGAGAUACGGCCCAGACUCCUACGGGAGGCAGCAGUGGGGAAUAUUGCACAAUGGGCGCAAGCCUGAUGCAGCGACGCCGCGUGGGGGAUGACGGCCUUCGGGUUGUAAACUCCUUUCGCCAGGGACGAAGCGUUUUGUGACGGUACCUGGAGAAGAAGCACCGGCCAACUACGUG
Molecule: ribosomal RNA, 463 nt
Filed under: uncultured bacterium
Lineage: Bacteria
Description: partial 16S ribosomal RNA
Rfam family: Bacterial small subunit ribosomal RNA
Source: RNAcentral